AUCUGCUAUUCUAAUAUUGGAGGAUUUGCAAUCACAUUUUUACAUACCUUGAAGAAGAAAGACAAUAUAAAACCUCCAGGCAUUCUUAGCUUUAAAAUCUUCAUUUGUCAGAUAAAUUUCAAGAAGUAUAUCAAGGAUUUUCAUGAUAUGGUCUCCGUUUGCUUCUCUGAAUC
Molecule: long non-coding RNA, 173 nt
Organism: Eptesicus fuscus (big brown bat)
Lineage: Eukaryota; Metazoa; Chordata; Mammalia; Chiroptera; Vespertilionidae
Exons: 3
Source: RefSeq, a predicted model, not a curated record